This 406-nucleotide ribosomal RNA is filed under the name uncultured bacterium. RNAcentral describes it as "partial 16S ribosomal RNA". It matches the Rfam family "Bacterial small subunit ribosomal RNA", at positions 30 to 526 of the family's 1533-position model. The record is from RNAcentral.
AUUGAACGCUGGCGGCAGGCCUAACACAUGCAAGUCGAGCGAGCGGCGGACGGGUGAGUAAUGUCUGGGAAUCUGCCCGAUGGAGGGGGAUAACUACUGGAAACGGUAGCUAAUACCGCAUACUAUCAGAUGAGCCCAGAUGGGAUUAGCUAGUAGGUGGGGUAAUGGCUCACCUAGGCGACGAUCCCUCGCUGGUCUGAGAGGAUGACCAGCCACACUGGGACUGAGACACGGCCCAGACUCCUACGGGAGGCAGCAGUGGGGAAUAUUGCACAAUGGGCGCAAGCCUGAUGCAGCCAGGCCGCGUGUAUGAAGAAGGCCUUAGGGUUGUAAAGCACUUUCAGCGGGGAGGCGUUACCCGCAGAAGAAGCACCGGCUAACUCCGUGCCAGCAGCCGCGGUAAUAC